GGGCCCGCACAAGCGGUGGAGCAUGUGGUUUAAUUCGACGCAACGCGAAGAACCUUACCAGGGUUUGACAUCCCCUGACAGCUGUGGAAACAUAGUGUUUUAUCUUCGGAUAGACAGGGAGACAGGUGGUGCAUGGUUGUCGUCAGCUCGUGUCGUGAGAUGUUGGGUUAAGUCCCGCAACGAGCGCAACCCCUACGUUUAGUUGCUAACAGGUGAAGCUGAGCACUCUAGAGGAACUGCCGUUGACAAAACGGAGGAAGGUGGGGAUGACGUCAAAUCAUCAUGCCCCUUAUGUCCUGGGCUACACACGUGCUACAAUGGCCGGUACAAAGGGCAGCGAAGCUGUGAAGCGGAGCAAAUCCCAAAAAGCCGGUCUCAGUUCGGAUUGCAGGCUGAAAUUCGCCUGCAUGAAGUCGGAAUCGCUAGUAAUCGCAGGUCAGCAUACUGCGGUGAAUACGUUCCCGGGCCUU
Molecule: ribosomal RNA, 470 nt
Filed under: uncultured bacterium
Lineage: Bacteria
Description: bacterial SSU rRNA
Rfam family: Bacterial small subunit ribosomal RNA
Source: RNAcentral